GCUGGCGGCGUGCCUAACACAUGCAAGUCCUUACGAGAAAGUCCGCUUCGGUGGAUGAGUAAAGUGGCGCACGGGUGAGUAACGCGUGGAUAAUCUACCCCUCAGUUGGGAAUAACGUACCGAAAGGUGCGCUAAUACCGAAUGAUACUGCAUAACUACUGUUGUGUAGUCAAAGAUGGCCUCUGUUUACAAGCUAUCGCUGAAGGAUGAGUCCGCGUACCAUUAGCUAGUUGGUAGGGUAAUGGCCUACCAAGGCGACGAUGGUUAGCUGGUCUGAGAGGAUGAUCAGCCACACUGGAACUGAGACACGGUCCAGACUCCUACGGGAGGCAGCAGUGAGGAAUAUUGCGCAAUGGGGGCAACCCUGACGCAGCAACGCCGCGGGAGUGAGGAAGGUUUUCGGACCGUAAAGCUCUGUCGAGCGGGAAGAAAUGUGUAAUGGCUAAUAUCCAUUAUAUUUGACGGUACCGCUAAAGGAAGCACCGGCUAACUCCGUGCCAGCAGCCGCGGUAAUAUGGGGGGUGCGAGCGCCGUUCGGAAUUCUUGGGCGUACAGAGCGUGUAGGCGGCUGGAUAAGUCAGAUGUGAAAGCCCUGGGCUUAACCCAGAAAGUGCAUUUGAAACUGUUCCACUGGAGUAAGGGAGAGGAAAGUGGAAUUCCUGGUGUAGAGGUGAAAUUCGUACAUAUCAGGAGGAACACCGGUGGCGAAGGCCUCUUUCCCGGGCCCUAUACUGACGCCUGA
RNAcentral lists this ribosomal RNA (742 nucleotides) under uncultured bacterium. Its description in RNAcentral is "bacterial SSU rRNA". It matches the Rfam family "Bacterial small subunit ribosomal RNA", at positions 35 to 750 of the family's 1533-position model. The record is from RNAcentral.